AAGUCGUAACAAGGUUUCCGUAGGUGAACCUGCGGAAGGAUCAUUAACAGUGAGCCCCGGUCUUUACCGGGGACUACACCUCUUACCACAAAUGAGCACUCGGGCUUUCAGUCAGUGGGUUCAUUUGUAGUGUAAUGCGUCCACCCAUUGUGAAACUUAACCUAUGCUUCGGCAGCACUCUUAGCGGCCUUAAAAACCGCUAGAGGGGUAAGGCUGUCAGAAGCCCACUAUCAAACUAGUUGAUGAAAUGUCAUGCAGUCUGAUAACUACUAUUUGAGAAAUCAAAUUACGUUAAAACUUUCAGCAACGGAUCUCUUGGUUCUCGCAUCGAUGAAGAACGCAGCGAAACGCGAUAGGUAAUGUGAAUUGCAGAAUUCCGUGAAUCAUCGAAUCUUUGAACGCACAUUGCGCCUGCUGGUAUUCCGGUAGGCAUGCCUGUUUGAGCGUCAGCAAAACUCCUCAGCAAUUUAUUUUUUGCUGGUUAUGGGUACGGAGUAGACUAUACAGUCGCUUUUGCCUUAAACUUGCUGCACGACCGCAAGCUUAUGCUAGGUUAAUGGAGUGGUGUUUACAAUAUUCCAGCUGCCUUUUAGUAUAGCUAGUGGCGUUAAACCUGAUGUCGUCUAACCGCGACUGAAGUUUGACCUCAAAUCAGACAAGGAUACCCGCUGAACUUAA
Molecule: ribosomal RNA, 678 nt
Filed under: uncultured fungus
Lineage: Eukaryota; Fungi
Description: eukaryotic LSU rRNA
Rfam family: 5.8S ribosomal RNA (bases 296-449)
Source: RNAcentral